This 1737-nucleotide long non-coding RNA is filed under the name Homo sapiens (human). Its description in RNAcentral is "HSALNT0009766". The record is from RNAcentral. Lineage: Eukaryota; Metazoa; Chordata; Mammalia; Primates; Hominidae.
GAAUUAUGGAGAAUAAUACAUUUGGGAAAAAAGAAUGAUCCUCAACCAUUUCUAAACAAAUGAAGAUAUUUGAAUGAUUGUAUCACAGCAGCAGUGCAAGUGAUCUGUGGCUAUUAUAAAGUGGUUGCCCUCCUUUACACAAGAUCCAAACCAAUCUCAAGAAUUAAGCAAAAGCACACAUAUGCUGUCUGAACAUGUUAGGAGAACUUGGAAUGCAGGCAACCUGCGGCCAGUAAGAUUCUAAAGGGAAGGAGUCAACAUUCAUCUUGAUGCUUUCAGUAUCGGCUGUCAUGAAGUGGCAACUAACAAGCUGCCUUUCCUGGAGAAGGGGAAAGUGUGACCUCAUGUAACUAGAGGGAGUGAACCUCGAGGAUUGUGGUCAUGUCCAGUGCUUGAGGGCUGGGAAGAUCCAUAGAUGCCAGCCUGUGUCAACCUAUCUUGAAGACUGUGACCCUGUCACCAACCAAGGCUUCCUCUGUUCCAAGACCCCUGAAUCUUUCUGUGGAAGAUUCAAAGAACAAUUUAUUUUAAACACUGAAAUCUUAGCAAAUGCUGGCAUCACUGAGCUUGGUCAUAAAAAAGUCCCUGACCCAACUGCUCACUGUCCCCAGAGUCCUCAGGAGCAGAGCCAAACUGGAGAUGACCCACUCUGGUAUCACUGCCUUAAGUCUCUGUCGGGAUCAUUCCAGAUGCAUAUCCACAGGGUGUAUUAGAAGCCCACUGUUCCCAGAAGAUAAGGCGACCUGACACCAUCCUGAAUUGAACCAAUAGGAUAGGAAAGGUGAUUGUGAGAGGUGAGGAAGUCUGCAUUCUCCCGCCUCAUGUAAGUAAAGAUUUGCUUGUCUGUAAUGAGUAGGAUUGCCAGUGUAAAUAUUCCAGAGUGAAACCAUAGAUUACCAAGUAGAGCCGACCUGCCUGACAACAGCCUUAUCCAUGAGUGUGACCAACUCACAAAAUUUCCAUUAUACUUACAUCAGUAAAGUCCAAACAUUUUUGUCACAAAAUUUAAGCUGAUGAAAAGCUGGAUAAAUCUAAAGCAACUGGAUUUUGCAAUGCGUGGUGGGAGUUAACGUGUGGGUGUUCACUUCAACUCUUCUUUGAAAUUCAGCCUUUAAAAUCUAUCAUUGGAAUGUAAGAUGUUAAUAUGUUAUCAAAGGACCCACUGGCUAUGGGAAAGGGUGGGGCCAGGGCAGCACUGAGAUUUCAGGCAUUGGUGGUAGUUAGGGCACUUUCUAAAGGCUUGCUUAGCUUUUACCACCUGGUGUGAAAGGAGGGGUGUUUUCUGUAUAAGCGCUGUGAGCACACUCUCAUCUUUUUCUCUCCUCUUCACAUUGUCAGCACUGUAUAGGCAAAGAGGAUCUGCAGCCUUUGUUUCAGAGGCCCUAGUCAAGAGUCCUUCCCCAUAGGUCCAGGUGCCUACAGAGGGCAGCUACUGAUGGUAUCAGUGCUCCCUAGGGCAGGCUGCAGGGGGCGGAGGGGGGUACCACCUACCCGAAUUGGACUCACUAGAGUUGCACAUCAGACCAGCAGAUUCCAGGUUCCACUGCAGAUUUGCUGACUGGAAUCUGAGGGAAAGGGCAGUUCAAGGGCGCGGCCAGUGGGUGCCUGCCUUCUGGUGCCUAAUGCUCAACCCCAGUGAUUCUUAUUCCAAAGGAAAUUUCAAAAACAUUGCCUAGUGCGAACUGCAACCGAGUGCACAUCCAAAUCAUUUGGGGAACUUUGAAAAACACCUCUCAC